GCCGGGGCGUCCCCCGCGGGAGCCCGCAGCCACCCGGGACGCGCAUCCAGACGUGGCGCUUCGGACCGGGCACGCUGCGCCCGGGGGCUCGGCGGACCCCGCGUAGCCGCCGCUUCGGAGCUUGUGCGGCGCGGGCUGGCCAGCGGGGCGGCCAGGGCCCGGCCCGCCUCCCCAGCGCCCGCCCGGCUUCUCCCCCUGGCGGUGGGAGCCUCGGCGGCCGCUGGCGACACUAGGCGCACUGAAGCCCGAGCCGAGCCGAGCCCGAGCCGCCGCCGCCGCCGCCGCUGCUGCGCACCGCUCCCGGGCUCCCUCCCAGCGCGCCGGCCGGGGUGUGGGGGGCGGCGGGCCGGAGGGGCGAGGGCGGGCCAGGGGGCGCACACGGGGGUUGGCGCGGAAGACAGGACCCUCAGCCUCGAGGGAGCCCCUAGGUGACCAGGCAAAAUGGCAGUUCCUUCCAGCUGGUCCUCAGAUGGGCACAUCUAUUAGCCUCUGCUCUUGUAAGAAGUUAGCUGCAGAACCCACAUGUGAAUCCUUGUAGGACUCUGGAGAAGAUCAAAUGGGAGCUUAGAUGUGGAAGCUCUUUGGAAACCAAGAAACACUCUGAAAAUGAAAAGGGUGGAAGAGUAAACUGUUCCUGUUUCUCCAUCUUGACAGGAAGCAGAAGUUCUCCUUAGCUGAUUUUUCUUCUUGCCUUAUACUGGGUUCUUUAACACCAGAACAAAAAUAAAUAAAUAAAAGAAUCUUCCAGAAAUUCAUGAAGAGACUUCAGGUCAGGAAAGCCUGAACUUUCUCAUCCAACACCCGUUCAAGUCGGAGGAUGCUGAUUAAUUCAUGAUGGAAAGGUAUCAAUUUCACAGCCCAGACCUCUACAUUCUUGAAAUGCUCUUCUCAUGGGAGACAUUAAAUAAGCUUUGAAUUAACUGCACCUGUUCAUUCCAUUCCAACCUGGCUGUUCUCAAGGGCAUUAGAAGAAGCAAGAAAAGAAGAUAUUGUGACCAGUGGUUCACAGCAAUGCCCAGAAGAGUUAAAAGUGGUCUGAUGAAGAGUGUCUAGCCCUGCAGUGUUGGGAGGUAGGAAGCAGGAUGUUGCAGAAACUCAGCAGCCUGGGUGUCAAGGCACAUAAGUCAAGAAGGCCACUUUGGGCAGCAAAUAAAGAAACCAAGCUGACACCCAGAUAUGGAUAGUGAGAAAAGCUACUGUUAAGUGAAGUACACAGGACUUUGGGACGUAGGUA
This 1234-nucleotide long non-coding RNA is filed under the name Homo sapiens (human). RNAcentral describes it as "PREDICTED lncRNA (TCONS_00182874)". The record is from RNAcentral. Lineage: Eukaryota; Metazoa; Chordata; Mammalia; Primates; Hominidae.